GACGAACGCUGGCGGCGUGCCUAACACAUGCAAGUCGAACGGAGAGAUACGAGAGCUUGCUCUUGUAAAUCUUAGUGGCAAACGGGUGAGUAACGCGUAAACAACCUGCCCAACGGAUGGGGACAACAGACGGAAACGACUGCUAAUACCCAAUAGACUCCGGUUUCGCAUGAAACCGACAGGAAAGGUGGCCUCUCGAAGAAGCUACCGCCGCAGGAGUGGUUUGCGUUUGAUUAGGUAGUUGGUGGGGUAACGGCCUACCAAGACGAUGAUCAAUAGCCGGGCUGGGAGGGUGAACGACCAAAAUGGAACUUAGACACCGGCCAGACUCCUACGGGGGGGAGCAGUGGGGAAACAUUCGCAAUGGACGAAAGUCUGACGGAGCAACGCCGCGGGGGUGAAGAAGGCCUUCGGGUUGGAAAGGUCUGUUAGUCGGGAAGAACGAUUCGUUUGUAAAUAAUGAGCGGAAGUGACGGUACCGAAAGAGAAAGCCACGGCUAACUACGUG
Molecule: ribosomal RNA, 508 nt
Filed under: uncultured bacterium
Lineage: Bacteria
Description: partial 16S ribosomal RNA
Rfam family: Bacterial small subunit ribosomal RNA
Source: RNAcentral